UUCGUCACGAACUGACCGUGAGCUUGACCCACCACCAUGGCCGCACCCACCCGCCGACCACGCUACCCCACCAUGGGAGAGGGUCCGCUUGUUAGAAGGCUUCGGGUUCGCGUCCCCCACAUACCAGAGAGAGAGGAGCAAGCUCGUCCUCUAAGGCAAAGGUUCCUUCAAAGGAUUGUAGGAUUGGUGAGGACGAGGUGGUCAUUGAGUUUUUUGGGCAACUUUGGGCCAUCAACUCGCCUCCAUGCCUGAGGGAUCCUAGGGUUCCAUCCAGCGCCGCCACCACCAAAUCCGACCGAUUAUUCUAGGUAAGGCGAGAGCUGGUUGAGCGGAAGGAUUUAUCGGUGGCUGAUUGCUUCCCUGUGCUUCGAUCUGAUCGAAUCCACAAGCCACCAGUGCAAAUCAGCUUCGCGGGAGACAUCUGGAAGAAGGGGGAAGACAAGGGAACCUAUGCUGAAGUGUUGAAGAAACCUAUGGAGGAAGGUGGGAGAUGGGUUUGGUAGCCUAAGUGCCGCCCUCUGCCUCCAUGGCCGCAAAGGAACGUACAAUAGAAUCCAGUGAGGUUUCCUCAACAACCGAAGCAAUAGCCAGGUUGGCAGGACCGGGGGCCAUGAUCGCAGGGGAAUAUCCAAGGUGCGCCAUGCCCCCUCCACCCCUCCCUCGGCAGCAGUUGCUGCAAUGACAAUAGGGGCCAUCUAGGCCACCGCUACCGGUGGGGCAACCUCCCCCGCCCCUAGGAGAGGUGGUCAGCAAGGGCUACGCCAAGGUACUGAUACCUCUGACCCACCCCACAUGUUCGUCAUCGAUCCUCGGUACAACAAGUUAACAUGCUAUAACUGUGGAGAUCCGGGGCAUUUUGUGGGUAAUUGCACCAAACCCAAAAUCUGCUUCAUAUGUGAUAUUCCCGGUCAUCAUAUGGAUGCUUGUCCAGCCUGGAAGAGUGAUCACCCUGUUGCGGCAUAUGUGGGCAGUGCUAGCUUGGGACUAGGCUUCUAUCACCUGGAAAUACUAUAUGUUGAAUCAACUCAGUGGCUUAAUCUCACAAAUUGUGGUGUUGUUAGAGUCAAGUAUGGUAAUAUUACACUAGCUAAAUUGGAGGGUGAGCUGUCUGAAAUUUUCUCUAAGGAAUGGCCAUGGCAGAUUAGAGAACUGAAGACUGGCAAUUUCCUAGUCUGUUUUCCACCUAACAAAAAAGUAUCUAACAUCAAGAAUUACCUUCAUUCAGCCUGAGAAAGGAUGGGGUACAAGUGGAGGUUCUAGAGUGGCUUGGGGAUCUUAAACCCUAUGGGGAACUACAAGAGGUGUGGGUUCAGAUCAAUGGUAUUCCUCCAAGAUGGUGUCAUUGGAGAGUGUUUGCUCAGGUUGUCUCUGGUUUUGGUCUUAUGACACAAGUUGACUGGUCAGCUCUCUUCAAGUCCUUCUAUGAAACAGUCAGAGUCAAGGUGGCAUGCAAGGACUACACUAAAAUUCCAAACCAAAGGCUAUUUGAGAUGAACAAGAAACUGCAUGUGAUUAUCAUCACCGUGGAAGCAGAACAAGAGAAGACACAGAUUGCUCCAGGGGAUGAUGGAGGAGGUGGAGGGGAUGAUGACUUGGGUGAGGAUGGGGAGGAUGAAGACUUACUAGAUGAUGAUCCACUAGCUAAAGAACAACCCCACCACUCUCAAGUUUCCUCUGAUGAUAACACUAAGACCCCCCAUCAAGUAAAUCCAACAGCAACUCGGGGUAUAAAAAGGUUGAUAUGGAAGUCAAGAAUUUGGAGGAUAUAGAUCAAGGCAGCUGUCUGAAGGAAUGUAUGGAAGGAAAUUACAUGAUGGUGAACUCAAGUAGCGGCAAACUAAUGGGAGAUAUGAAAGCGCUCGAUGAUGACAAUUCUGAUUUGGCUAUUAAGAGUCUAGCGAAUCAGAGGACUUUACCACAUCGGGAGUUACGUACAGGUGUUGACUCUAGAUGGGAGGAGUUUAGAAAGUUUGUUAGUAGGGAUGCAGACACCGAGGAGUGCUCUAAUUUGUUGAAAAGGAUGGAGCUAGAGGCUUUAGAUGAUGAGGAUAAAACACUCAAUGAUGAAGAUAUGAUCUCUCUUGAAGAAUCAGGACUUCUAAGAAACAUUGAUUUGGAGGGCAAUAGAGAUCAGGAUGAGGUUGGCAAGAAAGCUCAAAAGAGAAAGACUGGAUGGGGUCCUAUUUUGAGAAUUCCGAGACCAAGAAGGGUUCCUGAUGAUGGGAGAACUGUCUUGCAAAGGGCACAAGAACUGAAGAAAGUGAAAAAUCUUGAGAAAGAAUUGUGUUUUUAGGGGCGCAAGUGGAGGGGCCUAAAGGUAUCCUCAAGAUUGCAAGGAUGUUACAGAGGUGGAUCUCGCUGAUGCAGCAGGAGACUAGCUAGGAUGUGCAUGGAGGAGGUGAUAGCCUAGCCGGAACAAAAAGCAUUAACACCACCUGAACUGAUGUAGUACAAUCAGAUGGGGUCUUUAUCAAGGUUGGCAACAUCGGGUGUUCACUACACAGAUUCCAAAAUUGUUCUGAGAUUGCGACGAUCUGAUUUGUUUUCAGAAAGUUUGAAUAUCGAGGUUUCUACCAUUUGAGUGUUAGGCGUUAUGGCAUCAAUUAAUGCCGUCACAUCAAGCUCUUUUGUAAGGCGGGCGCGCCAAAACGCUAAACUUAGAUGAGAAAACCUUCUUUUCUAAAAAAAUAAUGAUAACAGUUUCCACUCUCA
RNA transcript from Sorghum bicolor (sorghum), 2712 nucleotides. RefSeq lists it as uncharacterized. Lineage: Eukaryota; Viridiplantae; Streptophyta; Magnoliopsida; Poales; Poaceae. The transcript has 2 exons. The record is from RefSeq and is a predicted model, not a curated record.